AUGAUGUUUGGAAAAGGGAAAGCCCCUUUUUUUCCAAGCGAUCUUACUAUUUUUCCUGUGGCUAUUCAUUUUGGCUGUUGCACUAUAGGCUGGUUUGCUUUCAUGUUUUGCUUAAUUAAUUGCUCAGUCUUUAGAGGCCUGAAAACAACGAAACCACUGAAACAAGGAAAAGAGCAAAUGAGUGUCUGGAGAGCAGACGAUUAUAUGAAGAGCUGGAUGGGUGUGUGGAGGAGGGUGUUUGUUCUCUGCUGCCGGCCUUGGUGGGACAAUAGCGAGCUUCUGAAGCGCAGAGUGGUGGGAUGAAGAAGAUGAGGAGUCAAUGAGUGAAGAGGAGGCAGCGAUAUGUCAGCUCUUGACCCAACCAUGACUGUAGGAGGCCUGACUCAAUUACACUGCACAGCCCAGGACUGCAAUAUGGGAUAAAGUCCUGCUAAUUAUCUUGCUACAAAUGUCAGUUUCCUAUUUGAUUCUUUUAGAGAUGACAUGUGUGCAUUCUUCAGCAUUAAAAUGUUCUGUAUCUAUGCCAUAUUAGUAAACCAUUUGUAGAUUCUGCUAAAAAGUGAUGAGAAAUUACACUGUAAAGGUACAGUAAGGUGACAUUAAACCAUUGAAACAGUUUUAGUAAUUAAAUUAACGUAAAAUUAAUCAUAUUAAUCAUAUACAGUAUCUUCAUAUAAUAUAUCAUUGUCAGGAUUAUGGACCUGUUUUGGUGGGUUUUUCUUCCCCAUGUGCUCCGUGACAUAGUAUUCCCUCAUGUUUCAUUAUGUCAUUUGAUUCAGGUGUGUCCCGUUAAUUAUCCUCAUUUAGUUCUGUUUUUAAAGUGCUGUCUGUGCCUUGGUUCCUUUGUACGGUGUCUUCUAUACAAGUGCUACGUGUGUUCCUGCCUGCCCUGUGUUACUCUGGUUGUGGAUUAUUAAAGACUGUUAUUGGUGAGACUCCUUCAUCUUCGUUCUCCUUCGCUCCCGCACAGUAGCACUGUGACAAUCAUCAUAUAAUUUUCAGUCAUUAUUUUGUAGCCAUUCUAAGAAGUUUGCAGCCCUGAUUCCAAAAUAUAUCAUAAUUUGAAUCCCUGAUUAUAUAAGGUAUUUUCUAACAAUAAAUAAAUAAUUAUUCCCUAUUAUUAUUAUUAUUAUUGUUAUUAUUAUUGUUAUUAUUAUUAUUCAAUGGGGCUUAGCUAUUUUUGGUCCAAAACCAAAUUAAACCUUUAUUCCACUUUUUUAUCAAAAUUAUCUAAUAUAUUUUUAAGUUACCUUAAGGAGCAUCCCAUUUCUUUAUAAGGAAGGAAAACUAUGGCUAUUGUGUAAAAAAAUAAAAAAUAAAAAAUAAAAACGCAAUACGUUCUACAUGUAAAAGUGCACUUUAAUAUUUAUUUAUUUAUGCUUGUUUUUAACUAGAAAGAAUCAGACAGCACUAUAUCUCAUGUCAUGCUCACAUGAUGUCUGCCAAGCAUUUGCAAAGAACCAUAUAAAGACCAGAAUAUCUCAGAAGAAUAAAUACUGCAAGAAAAAGAUAACGGCCAUUGCUUAGAAAGCUAUCUACAUCUUUGCAUUUUAGCUCGUUCAUCCACAGAGGAGUUUCUUUCACAAUCAAUCACGAUUCCAGAGCCGACAUCAGCCCAGAAAGAACUGCAGGAGAUCUGAUCGAGAGUGAAAGAUCUUCAUCACAGACUCGUCUUUUUCUCAGAAUCUUCCUUUCGUUGCCUCCAGCUUUCUGGGCACAGAGCCAGCACAUGGAAGCCAUAAACAUGAAAACACCUUGGGCCUCUCCCUCUGCAGUGCUCCUUGAAUCAGAGGGCUUGUGCCUCCACGCCCCAUUGACGUUACAAACUGCUCCAACCUCAGCCAGUGACUCCACCUCAUGGCCCUACAGGAGUUACAGUAUUUGACUACAAUCAGUGACAUACUAGGUAAACCCCCUAGAAAGAACUCCAGGUUCAAGAGUAAAGAUGAUUGGCAGGUUGUCAAAUUUGCACGCUCGACAACAUAGUGAAAAAAGGGCGCAUUCAGGAUCACAUACCCUGAAGACUUCAAUGUGCAUCGCCCACAUCAUUCGGGAAAACCCGUCCAACCACUUCCAUUAACCACAACCCUCAUCGCAGGGAAUAUAGUACAUACUCCUUGAGGUAUAGCAGUUAAGUGGAUGAUAAGACUUUGGACAAUAAAGCUUCUGUGUAUUGAAUCUCCAUCCAUGUUUUAAUGGACCAUCUGCAUGUAAGACUGUUUUUACACUUCCAGUCCUGAGUUCAGUUCCACCCCUUCCACUAGUCCCACUGGUCUUCACACUGAACUUUUGGGUCCAAACCACGGUAUUGCAAAAGAUGCAAAAAAUUUGAGCUGCUCUCUGGGUGCUAUUUAUUCUAAAAUAUUCUGAUGUGAGAAGUGCAUUAAACUAUACUGCAAAGAUGCAAAUUAAAUAUCAUCAAUAGUGGUUUGUUUUUAGAACAUACUGCAUUUAUAACAACUGCAACUCAUACUUGAAUUCGAGUGAACUCUACACCCCUCAAUGCACACCCCAUUUCCUUUAACUCAAACAGUAAACCACGGUGCUAGCUAGCAAGAGGGUUUGGGGAUGCAAUGUAUGUACACCUUUAAUGCAACUUCAGUUGCUUUGCAUAAAGCAUCUGCCAAAUGCAUGAAUGUAACCAACCGAACUCUAACAAAAAAUACACUUGGGUCCACACCAAAUGUUCUAACAUGAAGCCAUUAGAUUACCAAAAAAAAAAGAAAAGAAAAAAGUCAGCCACAUGAGAGUACCAGUUUGGUUCAAGAAUGCUUGCUAAAAUAAAUAGUGUGUGUUUUGCCAUCUUGGGUCCAUUACUAUGGAGACAGACCUUGGUAAUGCCUGGACGGGUUAUCAAAGUUAAGCACUAUAUCAUUGCCCUUAAUGUGAAAGAAAUCAUGGCUGGAAGUCUUCAACCGCAGCUGGUGCACUGCACACAGUUAUGGCUUCAGCAAAACUGAAAUACAACUUGACCUUUGCUCUCUCCUACCUCUCCAUCCAUGAAGCAGUCAGAAGGGUCAAGAGGUCUGGGUGGCUACCAGGUCGCAUUCCAACUCAACACUGGUUUUGUAAGGACAGCCCCUGACAAAGCAAUAGACACAUCUUUGAAUGCUUAGCCCAGAACAGUUCCCCUACACUGCCUUGGACAUGCAAAUCAUGAAAGACAAUGCAUAAAGCUUGUGGCUCUGCACCUCCAGGUUUUACCAGCAUUUUUUAAGUGCUCGUUCUUGUAUAUUUGUUAUUAAUUGACUUCAGCUCUGAGCGUUUUAUAGUCUCAGAGGACAGCAUCAUUAGUGUUAUGUUCUCAAUAGCACCAUACAUAUUUCCACCUACAUCAAUUCUACACCAGAUGUGACCAUUGUCAUGUCGCACCACGCCACAACGGCUUGAGGCUGUCUUCACUUAACGAUUAAAAAAUUGCACAAAAACACCACUAAAUUCAUCAAACCAGACCAGUCCAACAAGUAGAAACAAGCCUGGUGGCCAGCAAGGACAAGCAAUCACUUUAGGGAGGUUUUAACAGGGUUGAAGUGUUUUAUGUAAGAAGCGAGCAAGGGCAAUUUCAAUUUAAUAAUGUACAGCAGUAAAAUUUCAACUUCAUUAAAAG
Cyprinus carpio carpio is the source of this 3607-nucleotide long non-coding RNA. The record is from Ensembl. NCBI's taxonomy places the organism in Eukaryota, Metazoa, Chordata, Actinopteri, Cypriniformes, Cyprinidae.